AUGGCUACAUUAUCAGCAGCCAGUGCUGUAGGAUGGGUUCUAUCUCCUGUUAUUACAAGGAUGGUUUCUUUGGUGCAGUCCUAUUUGUCCAGCCAGUAUAAGUGGAAAUCUGAGAUGGUAUCUGAUCUCAAUAAUUUGAAGGCAACUUUAAUGGAUAUAUUCAUUGUAGUUAGUGCAGCUGAAAGGCAACGUGUAGUGGACACAAAUCAGAUUCUGUUGUUGCAGCAAAUGAAAGAUGCAGUCUCUGAUGCAGAUGAUGUCUUGGAUGAAUUUGAUUACAUGCUUUUAAAAGAAAAGGCGCAAAAAGACCUGCUCAGCCGCAUAGCCACCUCUUCCCUCUCUAUUGGCAAGCGUUUGGUCAAUGUUGACAAGUUUAGGUCAGAACUGCGGAAGGUUCUCAAAAGCUUGGAGAGAGUUAGAACUUCUGCAGAGAUAUUUGUCCGAGUGAUGACACUGGAGAGCGAUAAACCCAUUCAGUCUCUUCGGUAUGUCCCAACAAGAACCACCGGGUCCUUUUUGCAUGAAGAUGUGAUUUUUGGGCGAGAAAAGGAGAUACCGGAGCUCGUGGGUCAGCUCGUGUAUAAAUCUGAUGAAUGUUCACUGAACAAUGAGCAAAACUUUAGGACUGAGGUGCUUGGUGUUGGUGGGAUCGGCAAGACUACUCUGGCUCAGCUGGUCUAUAAGGAUGAGCGCAUCGUGGAUUCUUUUGAUGUCAGAAUGUGGGUUAGUGUUUCCGGUAACUUCGACAAAACUAGAGUUAUCAAAGAGAUCAUAGCAUCCACAACUGAUGGUGAGAGUGCUGAAUUGGCCAAUUUUAAUUUCAGCCGGCUCCAGUCAGAACUUCAAUGGAGACUUCGUUCGAAGAGGUUUCUCUUAGUGUUGGAUGAUGUGUGGUACGAUGAGAAACAUGGAGAACACAUCAACAAACAAAUGUGGAUGGAAAUAAUAGCUCCUAUUAAGGAAAGUUCUGUAAUCUCUGGAAGUAAGGUUCUAGUGACAACCCGGACAGAAUUGGUUGCAAAAAUGCUGGACUCUAGAAGCUUGUUCACUUUACAAGGUUUGGAAGGAGAUGAUAGUUGGUUACUGUUCAGACGGUGUGCAUUUGGCAGCAGUAAGCCAGAAGGUUAUCCAGAGUUGAAGCAGUUAGGAUACCAAAUUGUUCAGAAACUUAAAGGCUCACCUCUAGCACUAAAGGUUAUCGGAGGACAUUUAAAUGGAAAAUACAGUGAUGCGGAGUGGGAGGAUGUUCUUCACAAAGAUGUCCUCAAUCCAAAUGAUAUUUUGACAACCUUACACUUCAGUUAUGAAAAUUUGCCGGAACACCUCCAGCAGUGCUUUGUAUAUUGUAGUUUAUUCCCAAAAGGUUACCGUAUUGAUUCAAAUAGAUUAAUCUGGAUGUGGAUAGCUCAGGGCCUUGUUCAUCUAGAAGGAUAUAACAGUAGAAGCUUGGAAGAUAUUGGAAGGAGCUAUUUCAAUGAUCUGUUAGUUCGGUCAUUUUUCCAAAAACUCUGCUGCGGUGAUCAAACAUAUUACACUAUGCAUGAUUCAAUGAAUGACCUCGCACUUCAUGUUUCCCAUGGCGAAUGCUUUAGGAUUGACCAUGGCAGCAUUGGGGUGUUACCUUAUCAUAUUAGGCAUUUGUCUGUGUCUGCCGAACAAUUUGGAGAUCUUGUGAACUAUGAUGGUCUUGGAAGAUUGAGGACAUUUAUAGUUCUGAAUGAUUCUUGGUUCUGCUCCAAAGACUAUCUGAGUCAUGAUAUACUCGAGAAACUCAAGAGUGUCCGGGUGUUGGAUUUAACCGGAUGCUGCUUUGGAAACUUGCCAAAAGCUGUCAGUGAUCUGAGGCACCUGCGUUAUAUAGCCAUCCGACGCACUUAUUACCCACUGCCCACAACAAUCUCCAGACUCAAUCAUCUACAGUCCUUGUUUGUGCAGUAUCAUUCGUGUUAUCCUGUGAAGAUAUCUUGCUCAAACAAUAGAAAACAUCUGAAAUAUUCAAGCAGGAAUGCUACUGGACGCUAUUUCAGUCUUCCUGAAAGCAUUAGCAGGCUUAUUAACUUGGAGCAUGUCGAUGUAGAGAAGGCUUACACUCACAUUAUCAGGUAUACAUCAGCUUCCGUGCAUUGA
This 2127-nucleotide ribosomal RNA is filed under the name Triticum aestivum (bread wheat). Its description in RNAcentral is "partial small subunit ribosomal RNA". Lineage: Eukaryota; Viridiplantae; Streptophyta; Magnoliopsida; Poales; Poaceae. The record is from RNAcentral.